GUCGGGAAGCGCACAGAGAGAGUGGUGGUGACCUCCUGUAAUCCAACUACUUGGAGGCUAGGUGUAGAUGAUGUUUUAAGGGCAGGGAUUCUGGGAUUGGAUUUUCCACAUUGACUAGGGGAAAUCUUCAACUUAAAUGCCUUGGGGGAGCCCUAGUUAGCCAGGUUGAGCUUGAAAGGGGAAAAAAUUGGCCGAAAAAUCACCGAGUUGAGAGUCGUGAGUUCAAAUCCUGGACGUGGGAGUUCAAUUUCAGCUCGUCCAAACAAGAACAGACCUGUACCUAC
This 284-nucleotide non-coding RNA is filed under the name Pediculus humanus corporis (human body louse). Lineage: Eukaryota; Metazoa; Arthropoda; Insecta; Psocodea; Pediculidae. The record is from RNAcentral.